This 328-nucleotide unclassified non-coding RNA is filed under the name uncultured fungus. Its description in RNAcentral is "partial contains 5.8S ribosomal RNA and internal transcribed spacer 2". The stretch from base 1 to 134 matches the Rfam family "5.8S ribosomal RNA", at positions 22 to 154 of the family's 154-position model. The record is from RNAcentral. Lineage: Eukaryota; Fungi.
UGGUUCUGGCAUCGAUGAAGAACGCAGCGAAAUGCGAUAAGUAAUGCGAAUUGCAGAAUUCCAGUGAGUCAUCGAAUCUUUGAACGCACAUUGCGCCCUUUGGCAUUCCGAAGGGCAUGCCUGUUCGAGCGUCAUUAUCACCCCUCAAGCUCCCGUGCUUGAUGUUGGCGGCAUCCUUCGCCGGAUCCGCCCAAAGACAAUGACGGCGGCCUGUGGUCCCCCCGGUGCACUGAGCUUCUCAAGCACGUGCCGGACGAGGGUGCCCGGGCGCCGGUCCUUUCACCAUUUUAUCAAGGUUGACCUCGGAUCAGGUAGGAAUACGCGCUGA